UAAGUAAAUCAUCAAAUUGUAAUCAAAUCAUUAAUUAACACACUAAUAAUUCCUUCCUUAUUUUUUAGAAUCAUCUUUAAUCAAUGAUUCUGACUUGAAUAGAAAGAAAAAAAUAUCUUUUAUCUUACUUUAACUCAAUUUUAUUUACAUAAGUAAAUCAUCAAAUUGUAAUCAAAUCAUUAAUUAACACACUAAUAAUUCCUUCCUUAUUUUUUAGAAUCAUCUUUAAUCAAUUCACACUUCAUUCUGACUUGAAUAGAAAAAAACAAAUAUCUUCUAUCUUACCUCAAAAAUACUUAUGAAGCUCUAAUCACCGAUCCGCCCGUCUUUGGUCUUCUGACAAGUAUACUAAUUCGAUCGAGGUCGAGUAUCCGACAGACGAGACGCGAAAUCGGAGAAACCAUGCGAUCGUGGUCGAUCCAAAGACGAGAGAGGGCCGAAGAGAUGUUUCUAUUAGUCCUUCAAUCAUCCUCCCCUUUCAAACAAGACGCCCAUAAGGCCCGGCCAUGUAUUACAUUAACAAGACUCGCCUUAUGCUCGACGACAAGCCGGUCUAACGAGCACGGGAGAGCGUGCACCCAAGUCUAAGUACAAGCAGCCAUAAAACGGCCAUCAAAUCGACGUGUCCUGAGAAGGUCGGUAAUAUCGCAUCUACAUGACCGCGUCUACCAUGGGCGGAAGUCAUUAUAAGAACGGCCGUCGUAAAAGUCUUUGGAUCAUUUGUUCCGCGAGAAUCCACGACGUCCUUAUGGUCAUCGUCUUCGAGAGAAAUACAAUAUCCUGAGCCAGGGAUUUAUCAGUUUGAAGUGCAAAGAAUAAUGCUGAGAGCAAAGCUGAAUAAUUGAUAAUUAAGGAAGGAAAAUUAAUAAAAUGGAAAAUUUGAUAUAUCAAAGCAAUUGAAAUUAUGAUAAUGGAAAUUGGAGAUGCUUAUUAAGUGCUGAGGAUAAAGUUAUGGAUACCAAAAUUAAUAGAAGUUAAUACUAUGUGUUGAGUACAAACGAAUGAACAAUAGAAAUUAACAAAAUGAUAAUUGGAAACUUAUGCCACUGUUGUUCAGCAGUUUUGAGGAUGAAUUGGUACUAAAAUUAGUGGAGUGAGGGCUGAACACUUAGACUUGAAGCAAAAUUAUAUUUAUUCAGCAAUGUUGGAAACAAGACACUAAAAUUAGUAAAGUGGAGAAUGGAGACUUACAUCUAGUGCUGUUCAGUAAUGUUAAGAGCAAUGAAAUUAGCACGAUAAACUUUGGAAGCUUAUGCCAUUCAACAAUGCUGAGAAUGAAGCUAUGGAUACUAAAAUUAAUAAGGAUUGAAGAUCUAGAACUAUAGAGCAUAUAGAGCAAUAAGACAUUAGAAAUAAGACAUCAAAAUUAGCAUAGUGAAAACUUUGGAACACUGCUACUUAGCAAUGUUGAAGAUGAAACUAUUAAAAUGAGGUAUCAUAAUUAGAGGAAUAAGACUUAGGCUUAGAGCUAUUCAUGUUAAGGGCAAUGGAAUCAGAACAGUACAAGUUGGAAACUUUAAACUUAAUGCUAUUCAGCAAUGCUAAGAAAGUAAUGCAAAAUAGGAAGCUGAAAUCAAAGUUCAGCAGUUGCUAUUCAUAAUAUUGAAGACACGAUUAUGUACAACGAAAUUAUUGAAUUGAAUAAAACUAUGAACAAUAAAACUGACAAAGUGAAGACUUAAGAUUUUGAGAUCAAUAUUGUUCACCAACUGAAAUAUUACAGAUAAGAUUAAACUUCAGACCAUUUCUGUUCAAUCAAAUGAAUUCUAUUCAAUCUAUAAUCACAAAUUAUAUGCAAUACUUUCAAUAAUUAAUUCAUCACCACAAUGUACCUCAUGCAAAAACUAUCUCAAAGGAAGUUGCUCUAGCUUUUCAUUUAAAAAAUAACACAAUACCUUCAAUAAUUAAUCUAUCAUCACAUCUUAUGCACAAACUAUCUCAAAGGCCUUACCUUUUUAAGCACAAGUUACUUUCUCACUCAAUCUCUUAAUUAUCAUCAUGAUAUAUGUGCAAAAACUGUCUCAAAAACCUACCUUUUUAAGCACAAAUUAUCAUUUGAAAAAUAACAGGAUACUUUCAAUAAUUAAUCCACGAGCAGAAUACACGCUAUGCAAAAAUUGUAUCAAAGGUUGUUCACCUUUCUUUUUUCGCUCAGGGCGCAGGAAUCCCCAAGUUCGCCAUAAUGCAGUCAUUUAGAGGGAAGCACGAAGCGAUAAUGCGCGGCGAUAGGGGGCGCAUCUUUGCAAUUUUCCCUUUUGGUAACCGGUUGCCGAGGCCUCGGCCAUUUUUAGAUUCUUAUCCGCGGAAAAAGUUUCUGCUUUGCGAGACGUUCGUUUCCGCCCCCUCCCCCCUCCUCCAUUGUUGCAUCCUGCCCAAGUUUACCACCACCCACACCACACCUCUUCCAGCCUCCAUCGGCCACCUUUAUUGCCGUUUAUUCGGGACGCUCGUAAAAGUUAAUGCAACUUGGCAAAUUAUUUCUCCUCGAGCCGAGCCAACGUGCUUUAAUGGGACCACGAUAAUGACAGGCGGAUGCUCGUUUAAUAAAAAUGAAUAAGAAAGAACGUUGUUCAACCGUUUGUCGAUCAAUUUUCAAGGGGAGGAAGGAAGCGAAUUUCGGUCCUGAACAUCGGUUCGUUUUAGAGAGAAUUCGAGGGUUGAAGAUUUGGUGCUGAAAAUUUUUAAUUCUUAUCUUACGAGUAUUUUAUAUUAUUUUUCUUCUAUCGUUUCGAGGAUAAAGAUUCGUGUUAUUAAUAUUAUCGAUGGUUUGUUUCUUCUUGAUCGAUGCGGAUCCAACCAAUUUUGUCACCUCGAAAUGAUAGAAACACAAAGGGGGAGAAAAUAGUGGGGCGAAGAUAGGAAAGUGUCCGUAUACUUUUUUGGCUGCAACGUACUUCGAAAAGAUUUUUCUUUUUGUAAAUGUUCGUUACAAGAAGAAGUUGGUAGAAAUAGAAAACGAUGUCAUCCUGUUUGAUCUAUGGUUCAGAAAACGGUGGUACGUGAGUUUCUAUUCACAGCCACGACAGUAGAAAGAUAAAGAAUAAUAUGGAAAAGUGACGGUUGCGGUUGAUCGAAGUCACAAAUCUUCAGAGAGUAAAAUUCUUAUAUACGAACGAUGACGUCUGGUUUUUAAAAGUGAAUAUAAAAAUGAAUUUACAGUUA
Molecule: long non-coding RNA, 3162 nt
Organism: Apis cerana (Asiatic honeybee)
Lineage: Eukaryota; Metazoa; Arthropoda; Insecta; Hymenoptera; Apidae
Source: RefSeq, a predicted model, not a curated record